UCAAGUGAAGAAGCGCAUACGGUGGAUGCCUUGGCAGUCAGAGGCGAUGAAAGACGUGGUAGCCUGCGAUAAGCUUUGGGGAGUCGGCAAACAGACUGUGAUCCAGAGAUCUCUGAAUGGGGGAACCCACUCAGCAUAAGCUGAGUAUCUUGUACUGAAUACAUAGGUGCAAGAGGCGAACCAGGGGAACUGAAACAUCUAAGUACCCUGAGGAAAAGAAAUCAACCGAGAUUCCCUUAGUAGUGGCGAGCGAACGGGGACCAGCCCUUAAGUUGAUUUGAGAUUAGUGGAACGCUCUGGAAAGUGCGGCCAUAGUGGGUGAUAGCCCCGUACACGAAAAUCUCUUAUCAAUGAAAUCGAGUAGGACGGAGCACGAGAAACUUUGUCUGAAUAUGGGGGGACCAUCCUCCAAGGCUAAAUACUACUGACUGACCGAUAGUGAACCAGUACCGUGAGGGAAAGGCGAAAAGAACCCCGGAGAGGGGAGUGAAAUAGAACCUGAAACCGUAUGCGUACAAGCAGUGGGAGCCUACUUUGUUAGGUGACUGCGUACCUUUUGUAUAAUGGGUCAGCGACUUAUAUUCAGUGGCGAGCUUAACCGAAUAGGGGAGGCGUAGCGAAAGCGAGUCUUAAUAGGGCGUUUAGUCGCUGGGUAUAGACCCGAAACCGGGCGAUCUAUCCAUGGGCAGGUUGAAGGUUAGGUAACACUGACUGGAGGACCGAACCGACUACCGUUGAAAAGUUAGCGGAUGACCUGUGGAUCGGAGUGAAAGGCUAAUCAAGCUCGGAGAUAGCUGGUUCUCCUCGAAAGCUAUUUAGGUAGCGCCUCAUGUAUCACUGUAGGGGGUAGAGCACUGUUUCGGCUAGGGGGUCAUCCCGACUUACCAAACCGAUGCAAACUCCGAAUACCUACAAGUGCCGAGCAUGGGAGACACACGGCGGGUGCUAACGUCCGUCGUGAAAAGGGAAACAACCCAGACCGUCAGCUAAGGUCCCAAAGUCAUGGUUAAGUGGGAAACGAUGUGGGAAGGCUUAGACAGCUAGGAGGUUGGCUUAGAAGCAGCCACCCUUUAAAGAAAGCGUAAUAGCUCACUAGUCGAGUCGGCCUGCGCGGAAGAUGUAACGGGGCUCAAACCAUGCACCGAAGCUACGGGUAUCAUCGUAUGAUGAUGCGGUAGAGGAGCGUUCUGUAAGCCUGUGAAGGUGAGUUGAGAAGCUUGCUGGAGGUAUCAGAAGUGCGAAUGCUGACAUGAGUAACGACAAUGCGAGUGAAAAACUCGCACGCCGAAAGACCAAGGUUUCCUGCGCAACGUUAAUCGACGCAGGGUUAGUCGGUCCCUAAGGCGAGGCUGAAAAGCGUAGUCGAUGGAAAACAGGUUAAUAUUCCUGUACUUCCAGUUAUUGCGAUGGAGGGACGGAGAAGGUUAGGCCAGCCUGGCGUUGGUUGUCCAGGUUUAAGGUGGUAGGCUGAAAUCUUAGGCAAAUCCGGGAUUUCAAGGCCGAGAGCUGAUGACGAGUUGCCUUCAGGCGACGAAGUGGUUGAUACCAUGCUUCCAAGAAAAGCUCCUAAGCUUCAGAUAACUGGGAACCGUACCCCAAACCGACACAGGUGGUUAGGUAGAGAAUACCAAGGCGCUUGAGAGAACUCGGGUGAAGGAACUAGGCAAAAUGGCACCGUAACUUCGGGAGAAGGUGCGCCGGCGAGGGUUAAGGACUUGCUCCGUAAGCCCAUGCCGGUCGAAGAUACCAGGCCGCUGCGACUGUUUAUUAAAAACACAGCACUCUGCAAACACGAAAGUGGACGUAUAGGGUGUGACGCCUGCCCGGUGCCGGAAGGUUAAUUGAUGGGGUUAGCGCAAGCGAAGCUCUUGAUCGAAGCCCCGGUAAACGGCGGCCGUAACUAUAACGGUCCUAAGGUAGCGAAAUUCCUUGUCGGGUAAGUUCCGACCUGCACGAAUGGCGUAACGAUGGCGGCGCUGUCUCCACCCGAGACUCAGUGAAAUUGAAAUCGCUGUGAAGAUGCAGUGUAUCCGCGGCUAGACGGAAAGACCCCGUGAACCUUUACUAUAGCUUUGCACUGGACUUUGAAUUUGCUUGUGUAGGAUAGGUGGGAGGCUUUGAAGUGGGGACGCCAGUUCUCAUGGAGCCAUCCUUGAAAUACCACCCUGGCAACUUUGAGGUUCUAACUCAGGUCCGUUAUCCGGAUCGAGGACAGUGUAUGGUGGGUAGUUUGACUGGGGCGGUCUCCUCCCAAAGAGUAACGGAGGAGUACGAAGGUGCGCUCAGACCGGUCGGAAAUCGGUCGUAGAGUAUAAAGGCAAAAGCGCGCUUGACUGCGAGACAAACACGUCGAGCAGGUACGAAAGUAGGUCUUAGUGAUCCGGUGGUUCUGUAUGGAAGGGCCAUCGCUCAACGGAUAAAAGGUACUCCGGGGAUAACAGGCUGAUACCGCCCAAGAGUUCAUAUCGACGGCGGUGUUUGGCACCUCGAUGUC
Molecule: ribosomal RNA, 2494 nt
Filed under: feces metagenome
Description: bacterial LSU rRNA
Rfam family: Bacterial large subunit ribosomal RNA
Source: RNAcentral